UUGGAGGUGGCUGAGUUAAAGCGGAGGGCUGUAAACCCUUUUACGGAAUUUCCCCUCCAAAC
Molecule: transfer RNA, 62 nt
Filed under: Notomastus sp. GK-2021
Lineage: Eukaryota; Metazoa; Annelida; Polychaeta; Capitellidae
Description: tRNA-Tyr
Rfam family: tRNA
About the family: Transfer RNA (tRNA) molecules are approximately 80 nucleotides in length. Their secondary structure includes four short double-helical elements and three loops (D, anti-codon, and T loops).
Source: RNAcentral